GUGCUUGCUUCAGCAAUACAUAUACUAAAAUUGGGAUGAUUCAGAGAAGAUUAGCAUGGCCCUUGUGCAAGGAUGACACACAAAUUUGUGAAACAUUCCAUAUUUUU
RNAcentral lists this small nuclear RNA (107 nucleotides) under Dasypus novemcinctus (nine-banded armadillo). Lineage: Eukaryota; Metazoa; Chordata; Mammalia; Cingulata; Dasypodidae. The record is from RNAcentral.